RNAcentral lists this ribosomal RNA (460 nucleotides) under uncultured bacterium. Its description in RNAcentral is "partial 16S ribosomal RNA". It matches the Rfam family "Bacterial small subunit ribosomal RNA", at positions 338 to 795 of the family's 1533-position model. The record is from RNAcentral.
CCUACGGGUGGCAGCAGUGAGGAAUAUUGGUCAAUGGACGAGAGUCUGAACCAGCCAAGUAGCGUGAAGGAUGACUGCCCUAUGGGUUGUAAACUUCUUUUAUAUGGGAAUAAAACGUUCCACGUGUGGGAUUUUGUAUGUACCAUAUGAAUAAGGAUCGGCUAACUCCGUGCCAGCAGCCGCGGUAAUACGGAGGAUCCGAGCGUUAUCCGGAUUUAUUGGGUUUAAAGGGAGCGUAGGUGGAUUGUUAAGUCAGUUGUGAAAGUUUGCGGCUCAACCGUAAAAUUGCCGUUGAAACUGGCAGUCUUGAGUACAGUAGAGGUAGGCGGAAUGCGUGGUGUAGCGGUGAAAUGCUUAGAUAUCACGAAGAACUCCGAUUGCGAAGGCAGUUCACUGGACUGCAACUGACACUGAGGCUCGAAAGUGUGGGUAUCAAACAGGAUUAGAUACCCGGGUAGUC